UGAUUGACCUCGGAUCAGGUAGGGAUACCCGCUGAACUUAAGCAUAUCAAUAAGCGGAGGAAAAGAAACCAACAGGGAUUGCCUCAGUAACGGCGAGUGAAGCGGCAACAGCUCAAAU
This 118-nucleotide ribosomal RNA is filed under the name Sphaerophorus globosus. Its description in RNAcentral is "partial large subunit ribosomal RNA". It matches the Rfam family "Eukaryotic large subunit ribosomal RNA", at positions 1 to 114 of the family's 3401-position model. Lineage: Eukaryota; Fungi; Ascomycota; Lecanoromycetes; Lecanorales; Sphaerophoraceae. The record is from RNAcentral.